RNAcentral lists this transfer RNA (85 nucleotides) under Methanobacteriaceae archaeon. RNAcentral's name for it is "tRNA-Ser". It matches the Rfam family "tRNA". From Rfam's summary of the family: Transfer RNA (tRNA) molecules are approximately 80 nucleotides in length. Lineage: Archaea; Methanobacteriati; Methanobacteriota; Methanobacteria; Methanobacteriales; Methanobacteriaceae. The record is from RNAcentral.
GCCGAGAUAGUCUAGUCUGGUAAGGCGCAGGAUUCGAAAUCCUGUGAGCAUUCGCUCUCCCUGGGUUCAAAUCCCAGUCUCGGCG